This 1441-nucleotide long non-coding RNA is filed under the name Cyanistes caeruleus (blue tit). RNAcentral describes it as "lncRNA (ENSCCEG00000000666.1)". Lineage: Eukaryota; Metazoa; Chordata; Aves; Passeriformes; Paridae. The record is from RNAcentral.
CAAAAUUCUAAUUUCAUUUGUUAUAAAUGAUUAGCCAAUUUGAUUAGUAAAAAGAAGAAAUUUAUUCUAGAAUCAAAUUGCAAUCAUCAAAAGGAAACCAUAAGCAAAAAUCAGUUUGGGGCUGUGCCAGGCGAACAGCACCAGGUGAGACAGGGAGGAGGCUCUGCAGCACUUCCCCACCGUGCUUCACAAACUGCAACUGUCCCAAGGGGCUUUUUAUAUGUUUUCAGGCUCUUCUGGGCUCCUUUGGAAUACACUGCUUCCAGACAAAUAUUCAUGCUGUUUUGGGCGUAUAUGUUGUCAUUUCAUCAGGUUUCUUGGAAAUACACUUCUUGCAGGUCCUAUUUCCAUGCUCCUAUUCCCAGAUGGCUCCAGUCUCACACAGAGCAUUGCUGCCUUGGUCACUCCUAUCUCCACAAGCCAGCAGAGCUCCUAUUUUGGAUGGGUCUCGCUGCUCCCAAGGCCCCAGGGACGGCUCCUGCCUUUCCUCCUUCCGCUUUCCCUUCCAGGAUCAGUGAUGUCCUGCCACUUCCUCCAUGGCUGAGACAACAACAAGAGAUAAGGGACUGAGGAUGCCGCUUCUGACAGAGACUUGGUGACACUCAGCUGAGGAUUUUGUUCUCUUGCCUAAGAGAACUGUCAGGCUGCCUAUCCAAAACUCCUCCUGCUUGGGAAGGGGCUGGUGUGAGCAGCAGGAAUUGUUGUUGGCUGGAACAUUUCAAAGAGCUGCACAAAAGAAGUGUUUUGUGGAAGGCCGCCAGCUGCCCUUUGUCAGCAGCACAAGGUGGGAAGGUCCCCUUUGAAUGCCAGCCCUGCACAAGGACAGCCUUCUCCAGUAGCCACAACACCUUUCAGGCUUUCGGGCUGGCCUCGUCCCUCACUCUGGAGGAGCAGCUUGCUGUUGGAACUCCCACAGCCACAGUUUCUGCCUGCAUUACCGUGUCUUCCCACAAACAGCCCCGGAGACAGCACUACAUAGAGGCUCCUUGGAGUCAGAGGCACAGAGUGUGUGCCCUUCCCUUUGAUAGCUGGCUCUGACAUCCAGGAAAGCACUGCAUUUCAUAGAACACCAUGAAAACAACUGUUACAGUUCAAUAGAAAAACUAGGAGUGCAAGUGUGGAAAUUAGAAAGUUUUCUGAAGUCACUGGGUGAGAAAAUUCAACUUGAAGGUUGAAGCUAGUUUAAGAAAGAAGAGGCAAGAUGGAGGAAUUAGGGCGUUGUCUCCUUUGCCUUCUUCAUCUCCUCUCUUCAUCUUCUUCUUCUAGAGGUUUUUGGGUAGUAGUAAGUGAUUGGAUAAAGAAUGCCGCAGUGCAGUGAGCAGGUGUUGGGUCAUUGGGUCACUAAGAAAAAUCAUUGACUUGGCGUUUGUUAAUUGGGUAAAUGGACACAUAAAAAACCUUGAAGAUCUUUGUUAGCCAUUUGGCACCUUUCUAUAUCUUA